Molecule: ribosomal RNA, 1449 nt
Filed under: metagenome
Description: bacterial LSU rRNA
Rfam family: Bacterial large subunit ribosomal RNA
Source: RNAcentral
UGAGAGAUGGAGUGACACAGUAGGAUAAGCUAACCGUACUGUUGGUUAUGUACGGCUAAGCAUUGAGGCAGUCUAAAUAGGCAAAUCCGUUUGGACAAUGCUAGGAUGUGAUGGGGAAGCCCUUCGGGGCGAAGUAGCUGAUUUCACACUGUCAAGAAAAGCUUCUAUCGAGUUUAAAGGCCCCGUACCGUAAACCGACACAGGUGGGUGAGGAGAGUAUCCUAAGGCCAGCGAGAGAACUAUUGUUAAGGAACUCGGCAAAAUGACCCCGUAACUUAGGGGGAAGGGGUGCCUGUCUAUGACAGGCCGCAGAGAAUAGGCCCAAGCGACUGUUUACCAAAAACACAGGUUUCUGCUAAGUCGCAAGACGAUGUAUAGGAGCUGACGCCUGCCCGGUGCUGGAAGGUUAAGGGGAUCUGUUAGAGCAAUCGAAGCAGUGAACUUAAGCCCCAGUAAACGGCGGCCGUAACGAUAACGGUCCUAAGGUAGCGAAAUUCCUUGUCGGGUAAGUUCCGACCCGCACGAAAGGCGUAACGAUUUGGGCACUGUCUCAACAAUAGACUCGGUGAAACUGUAAUCCCGGUGAAGAUGCCGGGUACCUGCGACAGGACGGAAAGACCCCAUGGAGCUUUACUGUAGCUUGACGUUGGGUCUUGGUACUACAUGUACAGGAUAGGUGGGAGACUAUGAAGCAUGGACGCCAGUCUGUGUGGAGUCAUUCUUGGGAUACCACCCUUGUAGUACUGGGAUCCUAACCAUAGGCCUUGAAUCAGGUCUUGGAACACCGUCAGGUGGGCAGUUUGACUGGGGCGGUCGCCUUCUAAAAAGUAACGGAGGCGCUCAAAGGUUUCCUCAGCACGGUCGGAAAUCGUGCGAAGAGUGUAAAGGCAAAAGGAAGCUUGAUUGCAAGACAUACAGGUCGAGCAAGGACGAAAGUCGGACUUAGUGAUCCGGUGGUACCGCAUGGAAGGGCCAUCGCUCAACGGAUAAAAGCUACCCUGGGGAUAACAGGCUUAUCUCCCCCAAGAGUCCACAUCGACGGGGAGGUUUGGCACCUCGAUGUCGGCUCAUCACAUCCUGGGGCUGUAGUAGGUCCCAAGGGUUGGGCUGUUCGCCCAUUAAAGUGGUACGCGAGCUGGGUUCAGAACGUCGUGAGACAGUUCGGUCCCUAUCCGUCGCAGGCGUAGGAAAUUUGAGAAGACCUGUCCUUAGUACGAGAGGACCGGGAUGGACGUACCUCUGGUGUACCAGUUGUUCUGCCAAGGGCAUGGCUGGGUAGCUAUGUACGGAAUGGAUAAGCGCUGAAAGCAUCUAAGCGCGAAGCCAACUCCAAGAUAAGAUUUCCCACCGUAAGGGUAAGACCCCAGGAAGACUACCUGGUUGAUAGGUCGAAGGUGUAAGUGCAGUAAUGUAUUUAGCUUAUCGAUACUAAUAGGUCGAGGACUUGAC